UGGGGAAUAUUGCACAAUGGGCGCAAGCCUGAUGCAGCCAUGCCGCGUGUAUGAAGAAGGCCUUCGGGUUGUAAAGUACUUUCAGCGGGGAGGAAGGUGUUGAGGUUAAUAACCUCAGCAAUUGACGUUACCCGCAGAAGUAGCACCGGCUAACUCCGUGCCAGCAGCCGCGGUAAUACGGAGGGUGCAAGCGUUAAUCGGAAUUACUGGGCGUAAAGCGCACGCAGGCGGUCUGUCAAGUCGGAUGUGAAAUCCCCGGGCUCAACCUGGGAACUGCAUUCGAAACUGGCAGGCUAGAGUCUUGUAGAGGGGGGUAGAAUUCCAGGUGUAGCGGUGAAAUGCGUAGAGAUCUGGAGGAAUACCGGUGGCGAAGGCGGCCCCCUGGACAAAGACUGACGCUCAGGUGCGAAAGCGUGGGGAGCAAACA
This 427-nucleotide ribosomal RNA is filed under the name uncultured bacterium. RNAcentral describes it as "partial 16S ribosomal RNA". It matches the Rfam family "Bacterial small subunit ribosomal RNA", at positions 355 to 774 of the family's 1533-position model. The record is from RNAcentral.